Molecule: transfer RNA, 76 nt
Filed under: Candidatus Argoarchaeum ethanivorans
Lineage: Archaea; Methanobacteriati; Methanobacteriota; Methanomicrobia; Methanosarcinales
Also listed under: 1 other name
Description: tRNA-Glu
Rfam family: tRNA
About the family: Transfer RNA (tRNA) molecules are approximately 80 nucleotides in length. Their secondary structure includes four short double-helical elements and three loops (D, anti-codon, and T loops). Further hydrogen bonds mediate the characteristic L-shaped molecular structure. tRNAs have two regions of fundamental functional importance: the anti-codon, which is responsible for specific mRNA codon recognition, and the 3' end, to which the tRNAs corresponding amino acid is attached (by aminoacyl-tRNA synthetases). tRNAs cope with the degeneracy of the genetic code in two manners: having more than one tRNA (with a specific anti-codon) for a particular amino acid; and 'wobble' base-pairing, i.e. permitting non-standard base-pairing at the 3rd anti-codon position.
Source: RNAcentral
GCUCCGAUAGUGUAGCACGGCCAAUCAUGCAGGACUCUCACUCCUGCGACUGGGGUUCAAAUCCCCAUCGGAGCAC